AUGCGGAGAUGCCCUCAUGUUUAUCGAUGAUGCAGUGAUUGCCGGUUUGUUGACUGUGGGUCUGAUGGUGGUCUUUCUGGCCGGGGUUGGCGUAUUCAUCUACCAGGAUGCGCGCAAGACCAGCAAGAAGAGCUCCUGAUCCCACUGAUUUCGAGAGUUUCGAAGCGCAGCACGGGCUAUUUCG
Molecule: small RNA, 184 nt
Filed under: Candidatus Pseudomonas excrementavium
Lineage: Bacteria; Pseudomonadati; Pseudomonadota; Gammaproteobacteria; Pseudomonadales; Pseudomonadaceae
Description: PhrS
Rfam family: PhrS
Source: RNAcentral